UGUUUUUAAUGUUGAACCUGUUAUAAGCCUUGACUCUGGGCAAAUUCACUUGCCGUAGGAUGGCUGCAUAAUGGAAUUCUUCCAAAUAUCUGACUGGAAAAGAUUUGGGAACCUAGUUCAGUUCCCAGAUCUUUGACCCAUUUCCUACAGAAGAGCCAUCCAAGAGGUGUCAGAGGAGCAAACAAUACCACCUCUCCUGGGCUCAAAGGUCACUGCUAGGAUUUAGAGCCAAAAUGUCCCCCAAAGCCAGAUAUGUUCAGAGCGAGGCUUUUGGAAGGUGGCUGGUUCAUGAGAGUGCUAACCUCAUCCACGGAUUAACCUACUAAAGAGUUCCUAACUAUGAACGUCCUGUUACGAGGUGAGGUCUGGUUGGAGGAAGCAGGUCACCGGGGACAUAACCCAGAAGAGUCUACUCUUUUCCGCAGCCCCUCUCUGGCUCUCUUCCUGUUCUUCUCUACUUCCCGGCCGCUACACAGUGAGCAGCUUCCCUUCACCAUCCCCUUCCAGUAUGAUGCUUACGCCUCAGAGCCUGCCAACCACACACUGGAACCUCUGAAACUGUGAGCUGAAAUAAAUGUCUCUUCGCUUAAACUGACUUUCUGAGAUAAGACCUUCUGAAAAGCACUGGGUCCCUUGGAGUUCUUGAAUUGUAGCACUGGAUACAGUACUUGAUAUCUGACACUCAAGGACAAAAUCAUCUUCUCCAGGGCUCCCGGCAGAAUGACAGACUCAGGCCAUUCCAUCCAACCUCACCCACCUGCCCAACACAUUCUGGAAUAAAGCACCACUAGACCAUCCUCACAGCUCAAGCCUCUUAUUUUCUGGGUAGCAUCUUUUCAUCCUCAACAGAAAUAUCCAAGAACAAAUAAAUCUACUGCUAGAAGUUAA
Heterocephalus glaber (naked mole-rat) is the source of this 888-nucleotide non-coding RNA. The record is from RefSeq and is a predicted model, not a curated record. NCBI's taxonomy places the organism in Eukaryota, Metazoa, Chordata, Mammalia, Rodentia, Bathyergidae.